Small nuclear RNA from Prolemur simus (greater bamboo lemur), 108 nucleotides. The record is from Ensembl. Lineage: Eukaryota; Metazoa; Chordata; Mammalia; Primates; Lemuridae.
GUGCUCACUUCAGCAGCACAUACACCAAAAAUUGGAACGAUACAGAGAAAAUUAGCAUGGCCCCUGAGCAAAGAUGACACGCAAAUUCAUGAAGUGUUCCAUAAUUUA